RNAcentral lists this small RNA (714 nucleotides) under Pan troglodytes (chimpanzee). RNAcentral describes it as "retained intron". Lineage: Eukaryota; Metazoa; Chordata; Mammalia; Primates; Hominidae. The record is from RNAcentral.
CGGCGCGGCGGGCCGGUCCCAUCCGGAAGAUGGAUCGGCUUCUGAGGGAGAGAAGGAAGGGAAUAAUGAAAGCCACAUGGUGUCACCACCAGAGAAGGAUGAUGGCCAGAAAGGUGAAGAAGCUGUCGGUAGCACAGAGCAUCCUGAAGAAGUCACAACCCAAGCGGAAGCUGCAAUUGAAGAGGGGGAGGUCCAGACAGAAGGGGAAGCAGCAGUGGAAGGGGAAGAGGAGGCUGUGUCCUAUGGAGAUGCUGAAAGCGAAGAGGAAUAUUACUAUACAGAAACUUCAUUCCCGGAAGGGCAAAUCAGUGCUACAGAUACAACUUACCCGUAUUUCAGUCCUCCUCAGGAACUGCCUGGAGAGGAGGCGUACGAUAGUGUUAGCGGGGAGGCUGGUCUCCAAGGCUCCCAGCAAGAGGCCACCGGUCCACCAGAAUCCAGAGAAGGGAGGGUCACCUCCCCAGAGCCAUUCCACGGAGUCUUAGGCCCGUCGGAGCAAAUGGGCCAGGUCACCUCUGGGCCAGCAGUGGGCAGAUUGACAGGAUCCACAGAGGAGCCCCAGGGGCAGGUGCUCCCAAUGGGCGCCCGGCACCGCUUCCGGCUGAGCCACGGGAGCGACAUGGAGUCCUCAGACCUGGAGGAGUUCGUCUCGCAGGAGCCAGGUGCCACCCACCCGCUGAGGUCACCCUGCCCUGGCGAUGAGCCACCUGCACA